CUGAUGGCGACCGGCGUACGGGUGAGUAACGCGUAUCCAACCUGCCCUUUACUAUGGGACAGCCCGUCGAAAGGCGGAUUAAUACCGUAUGUUGUCAUGUUGAUGCAUACUUUCAUGACCAAAGGCUUCGGCCGGUAAAGGAUGGGGAUGCGUCUGAUUAGCUUGCCGGCGGGGUAACGGCCCACCGGGGCGACGAUCAGUAGGGGUUCUGAGAGGAAGGUCCCCCACAUUGGAACUGAGACACGGUCCAAACUCCUACGGGAGGCAGCAG
This 271-nucleotide ribosomal RNA is filed under the name uncultured bacterium. Its description in RNAcentral is "partial 16S ribosomal RNA". It matches the Rfam family "Bacterial small subunit ribosomal RNA", at positions 85 to 354 of the family's 1533-position model. The record is from RNAcentral.